AGACUCUGUGCGCGUGCAUAUCAAUAAGCGGAGGAAAAGAAACUAACAAGGAUUCCCUUAGUAACGGCGAGUGAAGCGGGAAGAGCUCAAAUUUGAAAUCUUCAAGGUUCUACCUUGACGAAUUGUAGUUUAUAGAAGUGUUUUCUGUUAGUAGAGUGGCAAAAGUUCUUUGGAAUAGGACAUCAUAGAGGGUGAGAAUCCCGUAUUUGACCAGUUACUUUCCAAGCUGUGUGAUACACUUUCAAAGAGUCGGAUUGUUUGGGAAUGCAGUCCAAAAUGGGUGGUAAAUUUCAUCUAAAGCUAAAUAUUGGCGAGAGACCGAUAGCGAACAAGUACCGUGAGGGAAAGAUGAAAAGAACUUUGAAAAGAGAGUUAAACAGUACGUGAAAUUGUCAAAAGGGAAGCGUUUGACACCAGUGUUGUUUUCUCGAAAAUCAAUUAAAAAUGAUGGGAUUUUGUGUUGUAUUGACUUUAUCAGCUUUCUGCACUUUUUUCUUAUCUUUUUUAAUGCACUUUUCGUUUAACAAGUCAACAUCAAUUUCUUUUGUUGUAAAAGGGUAUGAGGAAGGUGGCUUUCUUUUCGGAGAAAGUGUUUAUAGCCUUGUGCCUCUACAAUCGGAGAGAUUGAGGACAGCAGCGUAGACUCUUCGGGGAUAGAUACACUUGUGCUAAGCUAUAGCCUUGUAUAGACAACUUGUUGACUAUGCUCAGUCAUGUAGCUUACUCGCUUGUGCUAUUUUACCUACGCUUAGGAUGUUG
This 759-nucleotide ribosomal RNA is filed under the name uncultured Neocallimastigales. RNAcentral describes it as "partial large subunit ribosomal RNA". It matches the Rfam family "Eukaryotic large subunit ribosomal RNA", at positions 23 to 628 of the family's 3401-position model. The record is from RNAcentral. Lineage: Eukaryota; Fungi; Neocallimastigomycota; Neocallimastigomycetes; Neocallimastigales.